This 324-nucleotide ribosomal RNA is filed under the name uncultured bacterium. RNAcentral describes it as "bacterial SSU rRNA". It matches the Rfam family "Bacterial small subunit ribosomal RNA", at positions 154 to 507 of the family's 1533-position model. The record is from RNAcentral.
AAAGACUCGCUAAUACCGCAUAUGACGAAAGUUGAAAGGAGUAAUCCGUCUAAAGAUGAAGCCCGUGUCCGAUUAGCUAGUUGGUAGAGUAAAAAGCCUACCAAGGCGACGAUCGGUAGCUGGUCUGAGAGGAUGAUCAGCCACAAUGGGACUGAGACACGGCCCAUACUCCUACGGGAGGCAGCAGUGGGAAUUUUACGCAAUGGGCGAAAGCCUGACGUAGCGACACCGCGUGAGCGAAGAAGCCCCUUGGGGUGUAAAGCUCUGUCAGCUGGAACGAAAAAAAUGACGGUACCAGCAGAGGAAGCAUCGGCUAACUACGUG